GACGUAGGGGGCGAGCGUUGUUCGGAUUUACUGGGCGUAAAGCGCGCGUAGGCGGCCAGAUAAGUCGGGUGUGAAAGCCCUCGGCUCAACCGAGGUUCCGCAUCCGAUACUGCUUGGCUGGAGUCUAGGAGAGGAGAGCGGAAUUCCCAGUGUAGCGGUGAAAUGCGUAGAUAUUGGGAGGAACACCCGUGGCGAAGGCGGCUCUCUGGACUAGUACUGACGCUGAGGCGCGAAAGCUAGGGGAGCGAACGGG
RNAcentral lists this ribosomal RNA (253 nucleotides) under uncultured bacterium. Its description in RNAcentral is "partial 16S ribosomal RNA". It matches the Rfam family "Bacterial small subunit ribosomal RNA", at positions 524 to 776 of the family's 1533-position model. The record is from RNAcentral.